This 495-nucleotide ribosomal RNA is filed under the name uncultured bacterium. RNAcentral's name for it is "bacterial SSU rRNA". It matches the Rfam family "Bacterial small subunit ribosomal RNA", at positions 15 to 518 of the family's 1533-position model. The record is from RNAcentral.
GAUCCUGGCUACAGGAUGAACGUUGGCGGUGUAGCCUAAUACAUGCAAGUCGAACGGUGACGAUUUGUAGCGAAUACGAAUGAAAUCAUAGUGGCGAACGGGUGAGUAACGCGUUGGUGAUACUGCCUCGAAGUGUGGAAUAACUUCCCGAAAGGGUAGCUAAUACCGCAUAGUCUCUCAGGGUUUAGAAAACUGAGAGUAAAGGAUUUAUUCGCUUCGAGAGGAGCCUGCGUCCCAUCAGCUAGUUGGUAGGUAACGGCCUACCAAGGCAAUGACGGGUAGGGGACCUGAGAGGGUGGCCCCCACAAUGGAACUGAAACACGGUCCAUACACCUACGGGUGGCAGCAGGUAGGGAAUAUUAGAAAUGGGCGAAAGCCUGAUCUAGCAACACCGCGUGUGCGAUGAAGGCCUUCGGGUCGUAAAGCACUUUUGGAGGGAAUAGGAAGGAAGGUACCUCCAGAAUAAGUCUCGGCUAACUACGUGCCAGCCGCUGC